RNAcentral lists this small RNA (148 nucleotides) under Papio anubis (olive baboon). Its description in RNAcentral is "Metazoan signal recognition particle RNA (ENSPANG00000041591.1)". The record is from Rfam by way of RNAcentral. Lineage: Eukaryota; Metazoa; Chordata; Mammalia; Primates; Cercopithecidae.
GCUGGGUGUGGUGGCGCACACCUGUGAUCCCAGCUACUUGGGAGGCUGAGGCAGGAGAAUUGCUUGAACCCAGGAGGUGGAGGUUGCAGUGAGCCAAGACUGCACCACUGCACUCCAACCUGGGUGACAGAGUGAGACUCCAUCUCAC